CUCCUUGUGUUUCAGGUCUUGGAUCUCUUCCUGGGCUCCUGCACUCUGAUAUCCAUCUCACCCGCUUGUAACUAUCCAUUACAGCCUUCGUGGAAACCUGGAGGUUCCCUCCAGAUUUCACAACGCUUUCUUUCCACUCUCCUUGUGUUUCAGGUCUUGGAUCUGUUUGUGGGCUCCUGCACACUGAUAUCCAUCUCACCCGCUUCUCAGUGUCCGUCACAGCCGGCGUGGAAACCUGGAAGUUCCCUCCAGAUUGCACAACGCUUUCUUUCCGCUCCACUUAUGUUUCAGGUCUUGGAUCUGUUCCUGGGCUCCUGCACUCUGAUAUCCAUCUCACCCGCUUCUAAGUGUCCGUCACAACCAGCGUGGAAAGCUGGAGGUUCCCUCCAGAUUUCACGACGCUUUCUUUCCACUCUCCUUGUGUUUCAGGUCUUGGAUCUGUUUGUGGGCUCCUGCACUCUGAUAUCCAUCUCACCUGCUUCUAAGUGUCCGUCACAGCCGGCGUGGAAACCUGGAAGUUCCCUCCAGAUUGCACAAUGCUUUCUUUCCGCUCCACUUAUGUUUCAGGUCUUGGAUCUCUUCCUGGGCUCCUGCACUCUGAUAUCCAUCUCACCCGCUUCUCUUGGAUCUGUUCCUGGGCUCCUGCACUUUGAUAUCCAUCUCACCCGCUUCUAAGCAUCCAUCACAGCUGGCGUGGAAACCUGGAGGUUCCCUCCAGAUUUCACAACGCUUUCUUUUCAAUAUCCUUGUGUUUCAGGUCUUGGAUCUGUUCCUGGGCUCCUGCACUCUGAUAUCGUUGGGUUACUUAACGUAAACGCUGGUUCUUUGAUAACAGAGUGAGGUGUUUCACUAUGGGAAUCGCCUCGGCGUGACCAACUACGGAAGCUCCAAUGACACCACGUCUGUCUCUGACAGACC
Long non-coding RNA from Oreochromis aureus, 918 nucleotides. The record is from Ensembl. Lineage: Eukaryota; Metazoa; Chordata; Actinopteri; Cichliformes; Cichlidae.